GAAAUGCGAUAACUAGUGUGAAUUGCAGAAUUCCGUGAAUCAUCGAGUCUUUGAACGCACAUUGCGCCCCCUGGUAUUCCGGGGGGCAUGCCUGUCCGAGCGUCAUUGCUGCCCAUCAAGCACGGCUUGUGUGUUGGGUCGUCGUCCCCUCUCCGGGGGGGACGGUCCCCAAAGGCAGCGGCGGCACCGCGUCCGAUCCUCGAGCGUAUGGGGCUUUGUCACCCGCUCUGUAGGCCCGGCCGGCGCUUGCCGAACGCAAAUCAAUCUUUUUCCAGGUUGACCUCGGAUCAGGUAGGGAUACCCGCUGAACUUAAGC
This 316-nucleotide unclassified non-coding RNA is filed under the name plant metagenome. RNAcentral describes it as "partial contains 5.8S ribosomal RNA, internal transcribed spacer 2, and large subunit ribosomal RNA". The stretch from base 1 to 105 matches the Rfam family "5.8S ribosomal RNA", at positions 50 to 154 of the family's 154-position model. The record is from RNAcentral.